AGGAAGUAAAAGUCGUAACAAGGUUUCCGUAGGUGAACCUGCGGAAGGAUCAUUACAGUAGUCACCCAGGUUGCCGCAAGGCCUCCUGGGUAACCUACCACCCUUUGUUUAUUACACUUUGUUGCUUUGGCAAGCCUGCCCUCGGGCUGCUGGCUCCGGCCGGCGAGCGCUUGCCAGAGGACCUAAACUCUGUUUGUCUAUACUGUCUGAGUACUAUAUAAUAGUUAAAACUUUCAACAACGGAUCUCUUGGUUCUGGCAUCGAUGAAGAACGCAGCGAAAUGCGAUAAGUAAUGUGAAUUGCAGAAUUCAGUGAAUCAUCGAAUCUUUGAACGCACAUUGCGCCCCCUGGUAUUCCGGGGGGCAUGCCUGUCCGAGCGUCAUUACAACCCUCAAGCUCAGCUUGGUAUUGGGCCCCGCCGACCCGGCGGGCCCUAAAGUCAGUGGCGGUGCCGUCCGGCUCCGAGCGUAGUAAUUCUUCUCGCUCUGGAGGUCCGGUCGUGUGCUCGCCAGCAACCCCCAAUUUUUUUCAGGUUGACCUCGGAUCAGGUAGGGAUACCCGCUGAACUUAAGCAUAUC
RNAcentral lists this ribosomal RNA (578 nucleotides) under Geomyces sp. DU21. RNAcentral's name for it is "eukaryotic LSU rRNA". The stretch from base 229 to 382 matches the Rfam family "5.8S ribosomal RNA". The record is from RNAcentral. Lineage: Eukaryota; Fungi; Ascomycota; Leotiomycetes; Thelebolales; Pseudeurotiaceae.